This 1382-nucleotide ribosomal RNA is filed under the name uncultured bacterium. RNAcentral's name for it is "bacterial SSU rRNA". It matches the Rfam family "Bacterial small subunit ribosomal RNA", at positions 27 to 1381 of the family's 1533-position model. The record is from RNAcentral.
GAACGAACGCUGGCGGCGUGGAUUAGGCAUGCAAGUCGAACGAGAAUCUGAAGGUCCAAGUUUUCGGACAAGGACUUUUGGAGGACAGUGGCGGAAGGGUGAGUACAACAUGGAUAAUCUACCUUCAAGUUGGGUAUAGCUCCUCGAAAGGGGAGAUAAUCCCGAAUGUGGUGAUCCGGCGCAUGUCGGAGAAUCCAACGGCGGGGACCGCAAGGCCUGUCGCUUGAAGAUGAGUCCGUGCACUAUCAGCUUGUUGGCGGGGUAACGGCCCACCAAGGCUAUGACGGUUAGCUGGUCUGAGAGGAUGGUCAGCCACACUGGGACUGAGAUACUGCCCAGACUCCUACGGGAGGCUGCAGUCGAGAAUCAUUCGCAAUGGGCGAAAGCCUGACGGUGCGACGUCGCGUGGAGGAUGAAGGUCUUCGGAUUGUAAACUCCUGUCAUGAGGGAUAAAUGGCCAGGGCAAGAAUACUGCCUUGGAAUGAUAGUACCUCAGGAGGAAGAGACGGCUAACUCUGUGCCAGCAGCCGCGGUAAUACAGAGGUCUCGAGCGUUGUUCGGAUUUACUGGGCGUAAAGGGAGCGUAGGCGGUUCGGUAUGUCGAAUGUGAAAGCCCACAACUCAACUGUGGAAAUGCAUUCGAAACUGCCGGGCUAGAGUACUGGAGAGGAGAGCGGAAUUCUUGGUGUAGCGGUGAAAUGCGUAGAUAUCAAGAGGAACACCGGUGGCGAAGGCGGCUCUCUGGACAGAUACUGACGCUGAGGCUCUAAAGUUAGGGGAGCAAACAGGAUUAGAUACCCUGGUAGUCCUAACCUUAAACGGUGUACACUUGGUGUGCGAGGAAUUGUCCCUUUGCGCGCCGCAGCUAACGCGAUAAGUGUACCGCCUGGGGAGUACGGUCGCAAGAUUAAAACUCAAAGGAAUUGACGGGGACCCGCACAAGCGGUGGAGCAUGUGGCUUAAUUCGAUGCUACACGAAGAACCUUACCUGGGUUUGACAUAGAGGUAGUAGGGAAGCGAAAGCGGACCGACCCUUCGGGGAGCCUCUACAGGUGUUGCAUGGCUGUCGUCAGCUCGUGUCGUGAGAUGUUCGGUUAAGUCCGCUAACGAGCGCAACCCUCGCUGUGUGUUACAAGUGUCACACGGUACUGCCGAUAUUAAGUCGGAGGAAGGUGGGGAUGACGUCAAGUCAGCAUGACCUUUAUAUCCAGGGCUACACACACACUACAAUGGCCAGUACAAUGGGUUGCCAAGCCGCGAGGCGGAGCCAAUCCUAAAAAGCUGGCCUCAGUUCAGAUUGCAGUCUGCAACUCGACUGCAUGAAGUCGGAGUUGCUAGUAACCGCAGGUCAGCUAUACUGCGGUGAAUACGUUCCCGGGGAU